RNAcentral lists this ribosomal RNA (255 nucleotides) under uncultured bacterium. RNAcentral's name for it is "partial 16S ribosomal RNA". It matches the Rfam family "Bacterial small subunit ribosomal RNA", at positions 524 to 777 of the family's 1533-position model. The record is from RNAcentral.
UACGAAUGGGGCAAGCGUUGUUCGGAAUCACUGGGCGUAAAGCGUGUGUAGGCGGUUAAUCAAGUCAGAAGUGAAAUCCCAGGGCUUAACCCUGGAAUUGCUUUUGAAACUGAUUGGCUAGAGUACUGGAGAGGUUAGCAGAAUUCCGAGUGUAGAGGUGAAAUUCGCAGAUAUUCGGAGGAAUACCAGUGGCGUAAGCGGCUAACUGGACAGUAACUGACGCUGAGACACGAAAAGCGUGGGGAUCAAACAGGA